UUUUAUUGUACUCUUGGGGUGUAACGAUACACAAAAAUCACGGUUUGGUACGUAUCUCGGUUUUGAGGUCAUGGUUUGGUUCAUUUUCGGUACAGUAUGGGAACAAAAUGCAAAACCUAAAUUUGCUUUUUUGAAAACAAAAACAUCGUGGGAGAG
Molecule: long non-coding RNA, 156 nt
Organism: Thalassophryne amazonica
Lineage: Eukaryota; Metazoa; Chordata; Actinopteri; Batrachoidiformes; Batrachoididae
Exons: 3
Source: RefSeq, a predicted model, not a curated record